Molecule: ribosomal RNA, 372 nt
Filed under: uncultured organism
Description: bacterial SSU rRNA
Rfam family: Bacterial small subunit ribosomal RNA
Source: RNAcentral
GGGGGAGCAAGCGUUGUUCGGAUUUACUGGGCGUAAAGGGCGCGUAGGCGGCCACCGCAAGUCGACUGUGAAAUCUCCGGGCUUAACCCGGAAAGGUCAGCCGGUACUGCGGGGCUAGAGUGCAGAAGGGGCAACUGGAAUUCUCGGUGUAGCGGUGAAAUGCGUAGAUAUCGAGAGGAACACCUGCGGCGAAGGCGGGUUGCUGGGCUGACACUGACGCUGAGGCGCGAAAGCUAGGGGAGCGAACGGGAUUAGAUACCCCGGUAGUCCUAGCCUUAAACGAUGAAUGCUUGGUGUCUGGGGUUUUAUAGUCCCCGGGUGCCGUCGCUAACGCUUUAAGCAUUCCGCCUGGGGAGUACGGUCGCAAGACUG